UGGCUCAGGAUGAACGCUGCGGCAUGCCUAACACAUGCAAGUCGAACGGAGUUACUUUGACAGAACCCUUCGGGGGGACGUUGAUUUAACUUAGUGGCGGACGGGUGAGUAACGCGUGAGCAACCUGCCUCAGAGAGGGGGACAACAGCUGGAAACGGCUGCUAAUACCGCAUAACGUAUCAUUAUCGCAUGAUUAUGAUACCAAAGGAGCAAUCCGCUCUGAGAUGGGCUCGCGUCUGAUUAGCUAGUUGGUGGGGUAACGGGCCUACCAAGGCGACGAUCAGUAGCCGGACUGAGAGGUUGAACGGCCACAUUGGGACUGAGAUACGGCCCAGACUCCUACGGGAGGCAGCAGUGGGGGAGUAUUGCACAAUGGGGGAAACCCUGAUGCAGCAAUGCCGCGUGAAGGAUGACGGUCUUCGGAUUGUAAACUUCUUUUCUUAAGGACGAUAGUGACGGUACUUAAGGAAUAAGCCACGGCUAACUACGUG
RNAcentral lists this ribosomal RNA (491 nucleotides) under uncultured bacterium. RNAcentral describes it as "bacterial SSU rRNA". It matches the Rfam family "Bacterial small subunit ribosomal RNA", at positions 20 to 507 of the family's 1533-position model. The record is from RNAcentral.